UUUCCCCAUCGAUGCAUUUUUAUUUAAAAUUUAGCAUUUACUAAUUAAUGGGUGUGAAACAACUUCACUUGCAGUUUUUAAUGAUUCAAUCAAAUUAUCUCAUAUUAUGGGUAUACACAGCUUGAAUCAUGAUAAAGAGAAAGAAAAAGCAGCGGUUCAAAUCUGGGUUUAUCUCAGAUCAAAAUCUCCAUCUCAAUAUCCAAUGAUUAUAAUGCAAUGUGGCAUUUUCUUCAAAUCUUGCACCUCGAAAACUAAAAUAUCAUUCAAAUAUAAGUCUACAUAAAGUCAGGCAGUAAGAGGUUCGUUUUCUUUCUACAGUUAAUGAGGUGUUUUUUAUGACACAGCCAAAGAAAUUCUGUCCCAUUUCACUGUUUUUACAAUGGGUGUUAAUAUGGUUAACAGGAAAAACUUUUAAAACAUUUACUGAGGUGGUCCUUUCUAUAAACCGUUUAAGAAGGACUCCUGCAGACAGCUGUGUGGUGAGGGGAUCUGUGAGGGAUCUGAAAGCUGCGGAGGCUGGGGGCUGCGGCUGCGCGUCGGCUCAGGGCAGCACACAGGUGUGAGCGCGCCUGAGUGCAGUUCCCUGCAGCUUCUCCCCUUGGUCAUUACUAUAAAUGACAGCGUGCACUUAGUCAAGCAGCCUGGUUAAAUAAGGAUUAGAAGGAUGGGGAGAAAAUAACUUCACACUUUUGAGAGCAGCAAAUGGUGUUUGCAAAGAGCGCAGCUGAAAGCGGAGAGAGGCAGGGGAGAGCUGGGCUCUGCCUGCAAGUAACCCGACGCACGCCGCCUUCCCUCGUUUUGUUUUUCUCUUCUGCAUCUGAACCAGACCUGCAGACACCUUCGCCGAAGCGCUGGAACAAAGACGAAGGAGGGCAUGAAGGAUCGCGUGCAGAAAGUAUUUCUGUUAAAGCCCAACUCUGAGACAAACAUGAGCCCUGCUGCUCCCUCUCUACCCCUCACCACCACCCUCCCUCCCUCAUGCUUCUCGUUUGGUUGGAGCAUCAAACGACCCCGCCGUCUGAAAAUAGCGCGUCGACAUUUCUGUUUCGUCUUGUCGUUUCCUUUUUUCCUCCUUUUUAUUCUCGACAAUGUUGCCAGUUUGCUAGACUCCUGUUUCUUCUCAUGCCUCCUGCCUUCUUGAUCUGUGAGAGGUUACAGCGCAGAGUGCCUCAGACGUGCGCGUGUGCAAGUGUGUGUGGCGUAGGAGAGCUUUGGUGGUCUAUAAAAAGCAGCCAGACAAAGUCUUCCCUCUCUCUUCAUGCAUUAUGCAUCGGCAUCACCUUCCAUCAAUUGGCAGAAAAACCUCAAAGAUGUCUAACUUUAGCUUCCACUCUGAAAGCCAAACAGAGGAGAAGAUGUGGUAUUUUGACUGCCACAGUCGAGCUAAGCACCUGUUACAUCAAUAAAAGCUGCGUUUCGCAACAAGACGGCGGCAACAUGUGCGAUGGAAGAUGAAGAAAAAGAAGCACUUAAAUGCGGAGAGUGGAGAAAGGUAGCAACAACAAAGCUGAGCUGGAUGAAAGAUAAAAUAAAAAAAAACAAGCAUGUGUUCAGAGUUUCAGCUUCACCGCCAGCCUGGCUGAUGGUUCCAGGUCAAUAUGACAGGUCAGCAUGGGGCUAUGUAAAGGGAGAAUCUGUGCAUGUGUAUGAAGAGAGAAAUAAAAGGAUUUAAUACUGGGGGAAAAAAAAAAACCAGGGAGGUUCAGGUGGCAGCGGUGGCACUAAGCCAUGUGCACCGUCAUUCACCGCACGUCCGCCUUCCAGGAGCAGCAGGCAGCACCCAGGGGCGACCCAAACAGCCCCACCCGCAGCUCUGCGGGGCUGCAGUAAACAAGCGCUCCCCCUCUCAGCAGAAAGGCUGUGAUGGUCUGCUCUGUUCCAGGACUGUGAGCGUGUUUAUUUACUGUCCUGACGGACUCAGGCUGCCUCCACUCUGAUGAUGUCCUGAUGGAAGCCAUGGAAAUUCAGCAAUCCGCUCCAAUAAAAAUUACGAAUUUUU
Molecule: long non-coding RNA, 1999 nt
Organism: Poecilia reticulata (guppy)
Lineage: Eukaryota; Metazoa; Chordata; Actinopteri; Cyprinodontiformes; Poeciliidae
Source: RefSeq, a predicted model, not a curated record